UACGUAGGUGGCAAGCGUUAUCCGGAUUUACUGGGUGUAAAGGGCGUGUAGGCGGGAGAGCAAGUCAGAUGUGAAAACCAUGGGCUCAACCUGUGGCCUGCAUUUGAAACUGUUUUUCUUGAGUACUGGAGAGGCAGACGGAAUUCCUAGUGUAGCGGUGAAAUGCGUAGAUAUUAGGAGGAACACCAGUGGCGAAGGCGGUCUGCUGGACAGCAACUGACGCUGAGGCGCGAAAGCGUGGGGAGCAAACAGG
RNAcentral lists this ribosomal RNA (253 nucleotides) under uncultured bacterium. RNAcentral describes it as "partial 16S ribosomal RNA". It matches the Rfam family "Bacterial small subunit ribosomal RNA", at positions 524 to 776 of the family's 1533-position model. The record is from RNAcentral.